RNAcentral lists this long non-coding RNA (1310 nucleotides) under Homo sapiens (human). RNAcentral's name for it is "HSALNT0007019". Lineage: Eukaryota; Metazoa; Chordata; Mammalia; Primates; Hominidae. The record is from RNAcentral.
GUGUCACCUAACACGGUACCACCAAACUAAAUAUCCUCUCCACACAACCCUUAUACACAAAGUACCUCCGGUUUUACUUAUAAGCACAGGUUUUGGGACUUGUAGGAAUUCACGUCCAUCUCUCCAAAGAUGUCCAUCCAUUUUUGUCCAGGGGCUGGCUUUGGAGGACCAGCUGCUUGUCAAUCAGGCCUUUGCAUCUGUAAUUCAUCAGAUGGGCUAUCCCUGUCUAAGAUGUCCAGUUUUUUUUUUUUUUUUUUUUUUUUUUGAGACAGAGUCUCACUCUGCUGCCCAGGCUGGAGUGCAAUGGCACGAUCUCUGCUCACUGCAACCUCCACCUCCCAGGUUCAAGCGAUUCUCCUGACUCAGCCUCCUGAGUAGCUGGGACUAUAGGCGUGUACCACCAUGCCCGGCUGAUUUUUUUUUUUUUUUUUUUUUUUUUGAGAUGGAGUCUCACUCUGUCACCCAGGCUGGAGCGCAGCGUUGCAAUCUCAGCUCACUGCAACCUCCGCCUCCCGGGUUCAAGCAAUUCUGCCUCAGCCUCCUGAGUAGCUGGGAUUACAGGCACCAGCCACCACGCCUGGCUAAUUUUCGUAUUUUUAGUAGAGACGGGGUUUCACCAUGUUGGUCAGGCUGGAACUCCUGACCUCAAGUGAUCCUCUCACCUCGGCCUCCCAACGUGCUCGGAUUACAGGCAUGAGCCACCGUGCCCGGCCAGAUGUCCAUCAUUUUUUAACACUCCAAAGCACAAUGGAUGUUAUAAAUUAAAAUUGUUAUAAAAAAUGAUUUUAAAGCACAGAGGUAAUCUGAAGUUGCAAAAUCCAAGUUGGAUUCCAAAUAUGUUAUAGUUUUAAUGAAGAAAUUGAUAAAGUCCUGUUUAACUUGACUGCCUUUUCUGGUGACAUUUUUUGAGUUCUCAAGCAUUAAAUGGGUCAUUAUUCCUGCUGUAUGAGGUUUUGUGGCCCCCUCUCCAAUCCAAGUGUGGCUGGCUAGCCCCAUCUAGGCUCCUCGGGGCUCCUUAAGGAGCAUCAGAGAGUACUGGCAAAACAGUAUAUACAUUUCUAUUUUAUUUUUAAUGUGUUUAUGUAUUUUUUUUUUCUUUGAAACGGAGUCUCAUUCUGUCACCCAGGCUGGAGUGCAGUGGUGUGAUCUCGGCUCACUGCAACCUCCACCUCCCAGGCUCAAGCGAUUCUCCUGCCUCAGCCUCCCGAGUGGCUGGGACUACAGACAUGUACCACCACACCUAGCUAAUGUUUGUAUUUUUUAGUAGAUAUGGUGUUUUACUAUGUUUGCCAGGCUGGUCUUUAACUCCC